UCUUUGAAUGACAAAAUAAUCAAAAUUAUUUCUCUUACCUGUUACGAACGCACCAUGGGUCGCCAAAGUUCGCCGUGGUUGUGUGGUGUGGUCGUGUGGGGAUUAAGAGGGACUCCAACAUAAUGACCAAGACAUGCUGACUGAAAAGGAAACUGUCUCCCUUUUCUCACCUUGGUCAGCCUGCUCUGGCCUCAAACAGAGCAACAAUGACUUCCUCGGAGUAUGUCAGCCAAAUGGACGUCUGGAGGACGCCCUAAGCAGCCUGAACGUGCCGUCGGGCAGCGGCAAUGACCUGCGGCUGUGGAACCUGGCCGAGGACAAUCAGCAGUUCAACGACCGGCUCUCCCAGGAUGAGGGCAGGUCGUGGAGCUGCGGCUGGGAGCAACUCAGCUCGGGCUCCUCGUCUGGUGGCGCGCACUCGAUCGACGCCGACUUCCUCUCCACCAUCAGUACAAAUGGCGACGAGCUAUCAGAGCUGGGCCUGGAGAGUCUGAACCAGCAGCUGACCAGGGCGGAUCUGGGAGGCGCUGGCGAUGUCGGGUCGUUCGACUCGGACCCGCUCGGGCUGCUCAACAACGUCAAGACGUUCAACCAGCCGGGAAUGGAGACCCGCUCGAGCGUGUUCCCGUUCCCGGCGUCCUCCCGGCGCGGGGGUGAGCAGCCGGCCGGCGGUCUGUCGACGCUGGCCGCCCCCAAAGACGCGGGGGCCGCCACCGGCUACGGCACCGGCGUCAGCUCCUCCUUCAACCUGAUGGACAACUUCCGACGCGAGCCGACAGUGUCGACGGCCUACAUCCCGACGUGCUCUGGCACGAGCAGCACGCUGCUGCCGGGCGUCACCGAUAAUGAACUGCAGCUGGCCGCCCUGCUGGAGGCCUGCAACGCCGACCAGCUCAACCACAACACCGCGCCGCCGCAGAGCUUCUUCGGCCUGGGCGGACUGGACGAGCGCGCCCCGCCGCCGCCCGGCCCGGGACCGCCGCCGCCGCCGGCUGGCACCGGCCCCGCACAGAGCGGCAAGUUCCUGCCGGACGCGCUGUCUUCUCGGCGCUGCUCGGCCGUGGAGCUGGACCUGCGCCGCCCCGGCUCACGCGCCGGGCCCGGCCCCUUCCCCGGGGCGCGGCCGCCGGCGCCGCCACACGACGAUCUGUUCGGACCUCCGAUGUGCGGCCAGCCGGGGAUGCCGCCGCCGCCGCCCCCUCCGCCGCCGCCGUUCGGGCCCGACAUGCCCCCGCUACACGAGCUUCCGCCUCACGCCGGCUUCUUCCCCGGAGUGCCGCAUCCGUUCUUCGGGUUCCGGCCGAUCCGCCGCAGCGGCCCCUCGAACGAGCUGCAUAUCCGCCUGGAGGAGUGCUACGACCAGUUCAAACAGCUGGAGAAGGAGCGCAAGAAGAUGGAGGCCGAGCUGGCGCGCCAGUUCCCCGGGAAGAAGGUGUCGUCGGCCAACAACAUCCCCAUCCCGCGCCUGCCCACCAACCCGUCGCGCGUGGACCGGCUGAUUGUGGACCACCGCCGCGAACACGCCAGGGUGAUCACUCUUGUGGCCAAGACGGAGCGGCUGCGCAACAAGCGCAUGCACCGCAGCAUCCACAGCACGCUGGAGCAGAUGCUGGAGGUCAUCAAACGCGUCCAGGCCUGCCGCGGAGAGGAGAUCGUCAACGCGCAGAACCGCGCGCGCGCCGGCAACCCGGCCAACACGCGCAUCCAGGAGGACAAGGACAUUCUGAAGCUGGCGGCGGCGAUUCAGGAGCUGACGCGCUGUUCGCGCCGCACGCGCACGGCCAUCUGGUGCGCGCUGGUGCUGACCACGCACUUCUCGCUGAACCCGGAGCUGGCCGGCGCCGAGGACGUGUCGGCCGAGACGCUGCUGCUGCCGCUGGUGGCUGCCGGCACCGGCGGGGAGCCCGGAGACGAGCCGGCCGCCGCCGCCGCCGCUGCCUCCAACUGAGAGUCGGUAUCGUUUAACCUCAGCCUAUCUCAUCAUCGGACCAACGUAAUUAGCCCUUGCGCCGCGCGGUGGCGCUGCCGCUCUUCGUCGUGAUCGAUGGCUGUUGGCCGUCGGCUGGGCGGCCGCGCCGGCGCCUCGAGGUGGGUCGCGCGCGCCUCCGCUUCCUCUCAAUCUAUGCACCUCAGGUUCAGCGUCGGUCCAAGUCCAGUGUUCGCUCUCUGGUGUGUAGCUAGCGAUCCAGUGAUCUGCGCAGAGGUAUUAAUGUUUGAUACACUACGGAGCUUAGACUUGUACUUACGCCUUUCAUGAUAGCUCAUGCCAAUUCGCCGUAAACCGCUGGGUAGCUGGUAGGUUUGGCUUUCGCGUCGCUCGCCCGUGGCCUCGGGCCAGCGUUAUAGCAUUUGAUUAGUGGCAAGCGCCUCUCCAGCGUUCAGUCCAAGGUAUGUAGUCGACGUUUCGCUGCCAAAGUUUGUGCAAUUAGUGAUGUACCACCGGCUUUGGGCCUGUUACGACGGGGUUCUCCCGCUCUCAUCCUAUUCGUGUGAUAUAGAUUGACCAUAAGGAGGCGCGACGGUCUCACGGACGCCACGCAGAUAGCCGAGAUAUUAAACCGUGGGUAGCUACAGUCAGAUGUUCUAAUACUUGCCUUUCUGUAGGAUGUGCAAUUGAAUCUCUAGUGCCACCACCUCAGCGCGCCUUGGGCCCACCCUGCCGUAUAGACUUCCUAGAGGUGUUGGGAUGGGACCGCUGGAUGUUUCGGGUGCGCCGGCGGCCGGCGGAUCACUGCGCCCGGCCGCCAGCCGCCCUCUGUCAAAGACUGGCACUCAGGUUUUGUACGGUCCGGUGCUGGGCGGCUGGCCCGCAGUGCCAGUUCUCCCCCGCCUGUUUUGUACACAGUGUGCGUGUGUAUGUGUGUUGGGUGUGUGGGUACACGGUAGGCCUCUGGUGGGCGCGCGGGCGGGGACGGCGGACCGGCCGAGUUUGCGCCGCCGCCGCCCCCGGCCGCGCCACUCUCGUAGCUUCGUAGCUAGGGUUCUCAGCGGUGUUUCUCACUUGAGCUUAGUCAAAAGAGUCGGUCCGAAGAGGCGUGCUGCGCUCAGCGUGCUCCGUCGCCGGCAGUGGCGCGGCCCUGACAGAGCUCUGGGUGUUCCUGGGUGCGAGAGCGUGCGGUGUGACUGUCCCUGCCUUCUCCCGGCUGUGCGGCGCGCGGGCCCGGCUACUCGCGGCCGGCGCCGCCCCCGGCUGCUUGUGCUCAGACGGAGACGCUGUAGGCGCGGUGCGUGAAACAUUUCCAGGGAUUCGGGCGACCCGGUCCGGCUACUCACAGCAGCAGGCAGGCGCGCGGCGAAAUUCGCCGUGCAUCACCGGUGUAGGCGGCCGCGCGGCCCACUAGUUAGCUAUGCGCGGGAUACGUGUGCUGUUUUCGGGCUUGGUUUGCCGUGGUAUGUGUAGCUAGCACAAACAGGGUAGGGUCGGUAGUGCGCGACGAUAGAUAAGACAGAGGCAGCCCCGACCGGCGUGCGCGGUUAUAUUGUCCUUGAAGCCGUCCUCGGGAUCUUCAAUCAGCUCAAAUUUCACGAUGUGACUGCGGUUUUAGCGGGCGGGCGCUGGCAGUUUGGCGGCCCGCCCAGUCGUAAUGUGUACAUACGUGUGUGGAUUGCCGCCGAGAGCACCUUUCCUCUUUUCUACCAGUCAGCUUUAACGGUGCAUGGCUCUCCGUCUGGUGACCGUCGUCGCGGUCGGGCCGGCCGUUCCGCGCGGCCGCUGCCGGGGGCGCGCUCGGUCUCUGUGUGUGUGCUGGUUUGUGAUAAAUUUCGGCGGCGGCGGCGGCCGGCCGCCAUCCGGUGGCCGCGCUGCCGUCCGGCCUCAGUCUGCUAGACGCGCAAUAAGGAGCAUUAUUAGCGUCCGCCGCCACCGGCCCGGCCGCGCGGUGUAGAGUACUCGGGUAGUCGUGUUCGCCGCUCUCAUAUCAUUUGCCUUUCCACUGGAUGGAGCUGUGACGUAGUCGUUGUGUAUACCCUUUAGAGCGCGGCGGGCGCGGCCGCUGGUUGUGAGCAAACGUAAUCUCUGUGCGCUGUGAGCCCGGGGGUCGCCGGCGGCGCGCGACGGUCACAUGCACACACACACACAUGCACGCCGGCAGACGGAGGACGGCGCUGGCUCGUGCGCGCGCGGACACGCCACUCCAGGAGAGCUGUCAAUAAUAGAGAGUGACGCCGGCGCUGGCGUGUGAUGUCUAAUCGAGAGGCUUGCCUGGCUGCCGAGGGCGCGGGCGCAAUGGUCAGUGUACGGGCCCGGCACCAGUGCCACUUUUAACACAACGUUUACCAUAAUGUUGAAAUCGGCGCAUAACGAGGUAAUAAUAACCGAUGCGUAUAUGAAGACACGCGGCACUUGCCAAUUGAUUUCAAGGUGCGAUCUUGAAUCAACUCUUACAAAGUGUAGAAUUAUAGUUUCGUUAAGGUCGCUCCGCCUGACUGAGUCCGAAAUUAUGGUAUUUGUUGGCGGUUUGUUUGGUUUCCGCGCUCCAAUGAGUUGGCGCCCGGUUGGUGUUGUUAAUUUUCGGAUGGCUUUAGACGGCCGCCCGUGCCCGGUCGGGCCCGUUGUGUUCCUCAGCGAGUGCUGUGUUGGGUGUUCCUCUGUCCCCGCCUGUGUCUGUCGUUCGGUCGGGGCCAGCGCUCCCGCUAGAGUCGCGUUUUAGCCAUUUUGUAUGUAUUGGCAGUUAGCAGGACCACUAAUUGCGCAAUGUUAAAGUUUUCUUUAAAUGUAAUAAACGAUAUAUUCGUCAGAAAA
Molecule: unclassified non-coding RNA, 4741 nt
Filed under: Amphibalanus amphitrite
Lineage: Eukaryota; Metazoa; Arthropoda; Thecostraca; Balanomorpha; Balanidae
Description: uncharacterized LOC122389700, transcript variant X4
Source: RNAcentral